UACGUAGGGUGCGAGCGUUAAUCGGAUUUACUGGGCGUAAAGCGUGCGCAGGCGGCCCGUUAAGACAGGUGUGAAAUCCCUGGGCUCAACCUAGGAAUUGCGCUUGUGACUGGCGGGCUCGAGUACGGUAGAGGGGGGUGGAAUUCCUGGUGUAGCAGUGAAAUGCGUAGAGAUCAGGAGGAACACCAGUGGCGAAGGCGACCACCUGGGCCUGUACUGACGCUCAUGCACGAAAGCGUGGGGAGCAAACAGG
Molecule: ribosomal RNA, 253 nt
Filed under: uncultured microorganism
Description: partial 16S ribosomal RNA
Rfam family: Bacterial small subunit ribosomal RNA
Source: RNAcentral